UACAGAGGAUGCAAGCGUUAUCCGGAAUGAUUGGGCGUAAAGCGUCCGCAGGUGGUUUUGUAAGUCUGCUGUUAAAGCGUUAGGCUCAACCUAAUAAGGGCAGUGGAAACUAUGAGACUAGAGUAUGUUAGGGGUAGAGGGAAUUCCCAGUGUGGCGGUGAAAUGCGUAGAGAUUGGGAAGAACACCGGUGGCGAAAGCGAUCUGCUAGGACAAUACUGACACUGAGGGACGAAAGCUAGGGGAGCGAAUGGG
RNAcentral lists this ribosomal RNA (253 nucleotides) under uncultured bacterium. RNAcentral's name for it is "partial 16S ribosomal RNA". It matches the Rfam family "Bacterial small subunit ribosomal RNA", at positions 524 to 776 of the family's 1533-position model. The record is from RNAcentral.